UCCUCCUCAUUCCUCUUCUCCGUGUUUCUCGCUCCGUUCGUCGUUGUUCCUUUUUCUCCUAUCCGCGUUAUUAAACAUCUAUCGAGGUAAGGAGAAACGUGGGUAAUCACGACAGAAAACACAUACACGGUAUACGCUAUUAUAAAAAAUAAUAAAUAUCAUUGAAACGUGAAUUACACGAUCGGAAACGCGACACGUCGGCACCCGAGCGAUCUCGAGGUGUCGAUGAUCGCGUUCCCGGUUUAACAAUCUUAGGACAUCGACAACGAUAUAAUAUUCCUUAUGUGUACGCGUGUACGCCUGUAUCUUGUGUCAGUAUUCGUGUGUAUUUGUGCGCGAGCACGCGUCUCCGUUUUGCCUCCGGAUAAUAUCGUUUCCUUCGCCGACAGAAAUCGAUCAGCGUCGGUGGUAAACCUACCACCUUCUUCUCGUCGAUUUUCGCAACACGAUUUUUCCUGUGCUCGCUGUGUGCGUGUGAGAGUGAUGUAACUGGAAGUAGUCGCGCGAAGAUAAUUUGCUUCGUAAAGAAUAGGUGGACAGCUCGACAACCGCAACCACUAACUAUUAUGCAACUUCCAAUAACGUCCGUUUAAAUUCAUCACCAUAUUUCUGGCCGAGGAAAGCUUUCACCCUCUUCCUCUCUCCAUCUUCGCGAGAAUCUCGCCGGUAGCACCGUCUUUUAAAUAAAUCAGCAGAGCUUUCGCUGAACACUGACAAAGAGAAGAGAAGAGAAGAAAAGAGAAGAGAGAAAAGAAGAGAAGAGAAGAGAAGAGAAGAGAAGAGAGGAAAAUAGAACGACGAUGACAAGGACGAAGACGAGGAAGAAGGGAAAGAUAGCUGCCGGCUCGGAAGAGCUCCCGAAGCGAAGGUUGGAGACACACUUUCAUCGGGUCUCGAAGAACUUCUGGCUGGCGGCAUUACCGCGAUUCAAGCGCAUCGUGCAACUUGAUAAAAAGCAUCCAGAUCCGUCUUGAAACACCUCCCGUUGGAAGCUACCUCGAGGAAGGAUUUACGCCUUGAUCGAG
This 1025-nucleotide unclassified non-coding RNA is filed under the name Bombus terrestris (buff-tailed bumblebee). RNAcentral describes it as "misc RNA ENSBTSG00005023755.1". Lineage: Eukaryota; Metazoa; Arthropoda; Insecta; Hymenoptera; Apidae. The record is from RNAcentral.